This is a long non-coding RNA of Hibiscus syriacus, 205 nucleotides long. RefSeq lists it as uncharacterized. Lineage: Eukaryota; Viridiplantae; Streptophyta; Magnoliopsida; Malvales; Malvaceae. The record is from RefSeq and is a predicted model, not a curated record. The transcript has 3 exons.
UAUCGCGGGGUCGAAGUGUUUAUCCUUGAAUUUUCCCUCAUCAGCAAGGCCAGCUAUGAAAAUGUCGCCAAGAAGUGGAUUCCUGAAUUGAAGCAUUAUGCACCUGGUGUUCCGACAAUUCUGGUCGGAACUAAGCUUGAUCUCCGAGAUGAUGAGCAAUACUUUAUAGACCAUCCUGCUGCGUCACCGAACUUUACAGUUCAGA